This 399-nucleotide ribosomal RNA is filed under the name Hypophthalmichthys molitrix (silver carp). RNAcentral's name for it is "partial 12S ribosomal RNA". Lineage: Eukaryota; Metazoa; Chordata; Actinopteri; Cypriniformes; Xenocyprididae. The record is from RNAcentral.
CAAAGGCAUGGUCCUGACCUUAUUAUCAGCUCUUACCCGACUUACACAUGCAAGUCUCCGCAAUCCCGUGAGUAUGCCCUCAAUCCCCUGCCCGGGGACGAGGAGCGGGCAUCAGACACAAAUUUUAGCCCAAGACGCCUGGCCAAGCCACACCCCCAAGGGAAUUCAGCAGUGAUAAACAUUAAGCCAUAAGUGAAAACUUGACUCAGUCAAGGUAAAGAGGGCCGGUAAAACUCGUGCCAGCCACCGCGGUUAAACGAGAGGCCCUAGUUGAUAAAACCACGGCGUAAAGGGUGGUUAAGGAAAGCAAACAAAUUAAAGCCAAAUGGCCCUUUGGCCGUCAUACGCUUCUAGGUGUCCGAAGCCCAAUUAUACGAAAGUAGCUUUAUAAAGCCCACC